GAGUUGAAACAAGGAAAAUAGCAUGUAAAGGCCAGCAUGGAAUAUCUGUUCUUUGUCAUAGCAUUUUACAUGUGAAGUCCUGACCAGGUGAGGAGAAUGGUGUUUGGAAGAAGUGACCUACACUCAAGGUAACUUAAGCACAUUUGAAAAUGUGCUUUUACAGGCUUAGUUUUGCCACUGCUCAUCUUCUGAACUACAAGCACUCAGUAUGAACCAGAACGUGUUGAUUCAAGGCUUGGUUAUCUAUCUCAUGCAGAAAUUUAGUUCUUAGUCCUAACUGAAAGACUUGACAAUUUAUCAAAAAUGGAAUCCAUUAAAGAAAAAAAAAAAAAAAAAAGCCAUUGAUUGAUAAAAGUAAAGUAGAACAAUAAAUAGAAUGUACAUAUUCAGACUGGAAUCUGAAUUGUACAUUUAUUUAUUUCUAUUUAUGGCAAAAGAUGUGGGGUUUAUCAUUUUUAUUGCUAUAAAACCCCAUAUCAUAAAGCAACAUAUCAUCAACUUAUCAGAUUUAUUGGGAUACAAAACAUCCUUCAUGGAGCAGGGCCACAGGGAGCCCUGAGGUCUGUGCUGACAGUGCUUUAGCUGCUAUCAUAAAUAUUUUGACAGUUGAGUCAUAGGGAAAUUUCUUGUUUACAGGGAAUUUUAGGAACUUGAGCUGAAGGUCUUCACCAUCUAUUUAGCACACCUUGGGGCACAAAACUGAUCACAUAGUGAAACUCAGAGCACAUUUCAGGCUCAAGUUUAAUCACUGUACUUUGCUUGCAGCUGCAAGGCAAAGCUGAUUAUUUUUUUAAUUUUUGAAAAUUUAAACCAAAAACUGGGGGAAAAAAGUAACUGCGCAUAAUCAGUGCCAAGUAGGUGUGAUGCCAGCUGGUCUAUUCAAUUUCACUCAAGCAAUUCAGUAAUCACUGCUUAAUUAAAGAAUGAUGUUGCAGGGGAAAUUGUAGGAUCACUUGGUUGAUCUUGUAUGCAGCUUACAUGCACUAUUAAAGAUUUUUCUGUUCCUCCUGGUUUUAAUGUGCCAAGAAGCUCCCCAAAGCUUCUCUUUGAAGAAAUUCCAUUUUUCUUAUUAAAAGUAUUCCUUCCUGGUCAUAUAAUAGCAAAAAUAGGAUCUGGCUUAUUUCACCAAAAGACUGCAUUGCAAUUAUCUUGAAAUUUUCCUUUGGAAUUGUUAUUCCAUGAAUAAUUAUUUCAAAGGCAUAAUUUUUAUAAAUUGUAAAAUAAGAGGUUAAAGGUUGUUUGAAACUCACAAUUUUCCGGCUACUUUUGGGAAGAGAAACAAAUAAUCGAAUUUAAAAGCUGUUUUUCUUCACUCUGUGUAUCAAAUGAAGUACUGUUGGAACAAACCCUUGGCAGCAGAACACCAGAUUUAAAAGUGCAUGUUCGCUAUUUUCAUUUAGCCAGAUGUUUGAAAAUAAAGAAAAAGGGAGGUAAAGAAAAAAAAAAGGAGGUAAAGAAAAAGGGAGGUAAAGAAGAAAAAGGGAGGUAAAGAAAAAAGGAGGUAAAGAAGAAAAAAGAAGGUAGAAAAAGGGAGGUAAAGAAGAAAAAGGGAGGUAAAGAAGAAAAAGGGAGAUAAAGAAGAAAAAAAGGAGGUAAAGAAGAAAAAAGAAGGUAAAGAAGAAAAAGGGAGGUAAAGAA
Oenanthe melanoleuca is the source of this 1638-nucleotide long non-coding RNA. RefSeq lists it as uncharacterized. The record is from RefSeq and is a predicted model, not a curated record. Lineage: Eukaryota; Metazoa; Chordata; Aves; Passeriformes; Muscicapidae. The transcript is spliced from 3 exons.